This 33-nucleotide transfer RNA is filed under the name Amorphophallus tinekeae. RNAcentral's name for it is "partial tRNA-Leu". The record is from RNAcentral. Lineage: Eukaryota; Viridiplantae; Streptophyta; Magnoliopsida; Alismatales; Araceae.
GGGUAGACGCUACGGACUUGUCCCUCUAUCCCC